RNAcentral lists this transfer RNA (84 nucleotides) under Candidatus Nomurabacteria bacterium RIFCSPLOWO2_01_FULL_46_18. RNAcentral's name for it is "tRNA-Leu". It matches the Rfam family "tRNA". From Rfam's summary of the family: Transfer RNA (tRNA) molecules are approximately 80 nucleotides in length. Their secondary structure includes four short double-helical elements and three loops (D, anti-codon, and T loops). Further hydrogen bonds mediate the characteristic L-shaped molecular structure. tRNAs have two regions of fundamental functional importance: the anti-codon, which is responsible for specific mRNA codon recognition, and the 3' end, to which the tRNAs corresponding amino acid is attached (by aminoacyl-tRNA synthetases). tRNAs cope with the degeneracy of the genetic code in two manners: having more than one tRNA (with a specific anti-codon) for a particular amino acid; and 'wobble' base-pairing, i.e. permitting non-standard base-pairing at the 3rd anti-codon position. Lineage: Bacteria; Candidatus Nomuraibacteriota. The record is from RNAcentral.
GCCGAGGUGGUGGAAUUGGUAGACACGCAGCGUUCAGGUCGCUGUCACCGCAAGGUGGUAGGAGUUCAAGUCUCCUCCUCGGCA